Long non-coding RNA from Mus musculus (house mouse), 6160 nucleotides. RefSeq annotates it as predicted gene, 36661. The transcript is spliced from 2 exons. Lineage: Eukaryota; Metazoa; Chordata; Mammalia; Rodentia; Muridae. The record is from RefSeq and is a predicted model, not a curated record.
GAUUCUUGCAAUUAUUCAAAUUGGAGAUUUGUAUUUUUUGUUGGUGGUGGUCCCCAUGGCCUCUCUGGUGGAGGAAGGACAGAGAAAGCCAUCCCAGAGGGGAACAGAAUCAAUCCAAGCUGCUCAUUAAAAGGGGAAACAUCUCAGCUGUGUUCAUCUCUACACGCUCAUGUCAUGACAACCAGGCUCCCAUCAUGCUGCUUGGGUAACUCCAGGUAACUUCUAGGUUGUAGUCCUCUGGUCAGAGACAUGCUUUUAUUUUGUUUUUGUUGCUCCUGUUUGUUUGUUCCAAAUCAAAUUGGACCUUAUAGAAAGAGAGUGGGUGGAUGUCUAGAUGUUAGGGUUGGAAGGAUUCCAAGCUUAAAGUGUCUUGUCCAUUCUAAAUUAGAUCACAUCAUGUCCUGAGCUGAGACCCUGCCUCACCCUCUACUGCUACUGCUUCUGGGAAAAUUGUCCAGCUUAUGGUAGUGGCACAUAAACUCCUUUUGGUUUGAUCUGCCUCAUCUUUCCACUGUGCCACCCAUGUAUAUGUGCCACUUAUCUCUUGUAAAAUUACCUACUUUCACCAUUACCAGCUCAGCUUCCUCUACCUGUACCCCAUCUUCAUCUUCAGGAUAACUACCUCUGCCCUCCACCAUUGUCUCUGUCUCUCCUCUACUCUCACUACCACUGUUACCAUUCACCUCGCUGCUAGUAUUUACUCCACCAUCACAAUCACCAAUAAUAGAUAUUGUUUAUUCUAUAAUGACACAUAUUAAGCUGUUAUACAUUUUGUUGCAUUAAAUAUUGAAGCAUCAAUAAUACCUGGAUUUGGACCAAGCCACUGAGACUGCAGAAUCCAGACUCUGUGCCUUAAAAGAGUGAGCAUCCCGGGUUGCAGCAUCGUGUGUCACUUGCCUCAAGCUACUUUCUGUGUUCUGCAUCUAGUAUUUGUUUGGUUCUGGUCUAUUUUCUCUAUUUGUCUAUUUUGUCUUCAUGGAGAAAUGCCCAUUUCCCCUAUCAAAUCCUUAUACUCUUUCAACUCCUUCAGAGAGACCUAUGUUCCUGGAAUUUGUAUAUUAUCUUCCAUCUAGCAACACAUCACGUGAUAACUAAUUAUUUAUAUGCAUUGGAGUCAGUCUCAGUUAACACUGAGUAUGAAACUUAGCAAGCCCUACCCAAAGGCUGCUGUUUGGGCUGGGAAACUGGUUGAAGGGUUUCAGUAUGUGUCUCGUGGGGUUCACAGAAAGAUUAAAUAUCAAGUGUGGGGAAAGAUUCAUAGUAUUUGACAUAUCCUUGCUAAUUAUUAGAGAUAAUACCAUUAGAUUAAGUUUUAAUUAAAUAAUGAAUUUAUCAGCAAUUCAUGUUAACUAUAUCUAGUUUAAUUGAUGUUGAUAAGAAAAAAACAAAUACAGUUUGUAUUUGCAAUUAAAGUACUUUUUAAAAAUAAGCAAACAGGGGCUGGAGAGAUGGCUCAGUGGUUAAGAGCACUGCCUGCUUUUCCAGAGGUCCUGAGUUCAAUUUCCAGCAACAACAUGGUGGCUCACAACCAUUUUUAAUAGGAUCUGAUAUCCUCUUCUGGUAUGUCUGAAGACAGCAUACAGUGUACUCAUAUACAAAAAAAUAAAUAAAUCUUAAAAAAAUUAAGCAAACCAUUUUGAGAAUUAUGAAUGUCUACUGAGUGGUAGAGUUUAUUAUUGACCUUUUACAAUGCAAUCUGGGAGCAUAUAAUGAGAAACUGGGAAUAUUUAAGUAACUUUAUUAACUAAUAAUCACAUUCAGAAUCCAUUCAAAAGAAAUGAUCAGAAAUGCAUGCAAGAAGUUGAUCUGUUUUUUAAGAAAUAUGUAGAAUGUCUAAUAGAACAUUAGAUUCCAUAUUUUUGACUAUGAAUUAUAAGGCAAAAUGUAGAAAAUUCUAAAUAUGAGUCAAGAGAGCCUACAUUUUAUGGGAUAUUCAGCAAUUACAAAAUUAUAUCUGUCAGAGAAUAUCCAGUGAUCUCAACUAAUAGUUUUUGAAAGUCAGUGUACUGAAUAGUUCAAUAUUUAGUUUAUUUAUAAUAUAGUUUAACACUGAUAUUUCAUAACAUUUCUACUGAAGAUAAUGCCACAGAAAAUCUGUACUGGAUAUUUUGGAUUUAAGAAUUAUAGGUAGUUUAAAUUUUCAUUGAGUUUAAAAUAUGGUCUCAAAUUUAAAUGACUAUUUAUCACCUAGGAAGCUGAACCAAAUAACUGGAGAUGAAAAGAUCUGAAAGGGGCAAACUGUAUCUUUCCUAAGGGUAGGAAGCAGAAACCCCUUUCAUGUGUCCUACAGAGCUCAUAGAGGAAGACACAGCCUGAGUCCGUGCUUGGCUCUGCCACUCUGCCUUUUAUUUCCUAUCCCUGUGUCUCAGAUCCUUUAACUGAACAAUAAGACAAGUUGGCACUUUGCAAAUAUGAACUCUCCCUUUCUUAUGUUCCACUUAACCACAGUUCCAGGAUCCUCUGGGGCAGCAGGGUUGUCCCUGUGGCAAUUAUCAUAAAUUCAAACCAAGCAUGAGGAGCCUUAGGUCAGUGAAUAGAGGGGGGAGGGGGAGUCUUCAACCUAAGUGCAUGGCUUAGCCCUCCAAGAUGUUAAGAUGGAAAUGAAACCCAGAAUUUCACUAAGUGACUUUGAUGGUUCUUAGCCACGAUGCCAGUGGAAGAGUUCAGGGACCAUGCCACCAUUCCCAGUGACUUGAAAUGGCCCCAACUUGUCUACCUAUCUCAGAUUUUCCAUCCUUUUUGAAGGAGAUAUGGAAUGGCUGCAUUUAUAAUUAGUAUGUUUUGUCAUUUAAAGUUCACCAGAUUUGUAGUCAGUUAUUGGCUAAAAACAUUUAUUAUUUGCAAUAUAUUAUUAGUUUAUUAUGGCUCAUUGCUUUAAAAUACUUCGUUUAAUCCUUUGCAGGUCCUUAAACACAAAUAUGGCAGCUAUUAGCAACCUCUUCAGUCAGGCAUAAAAUUGUACCCAGAGGCCUCAUAAACAAUAGAGUGCUUUGCAAAGAUUAAAUCAGUGUACACAGCUGUGAAGGAGGCCAUUAGGAAAUGCAUUAUCAUUCUGCUUUACUGUUACUUUGUGUGCUACCCUGCUCCUGCCAAUCCAUCAGAUAGCCCCGCCUCCACCCCAUGAGUGGAAGAGCCUCAGCAUCAUUUCAGGCAAGAGACGGGCCCUGGGAAAUGUGGGAUCUAUGCUCUGUAUGCAGGGCCAAGGGGACCUGGAUGAUGGUGGUCAAGACCCAGCCUGGACAAAUACAGAGACCUAGAAAUUACGUCUUCAGUAAGAAACAGGGAGGGAAGAAGUCUUUCUCAGACUUCCUGGAUUAUGUUAAUUCAAACAAAGUAAUUACUAUCUUGCUUGCUUCUGAGUUUUUAUUCAAUUUCUAGAUUGAAUACCAGUCUCUAGAAGGAGAAAAAACGAAAGCUAUCAUUUAUAAAGUGCCUGGCGUGCUGUAGAAUUUCUCAGAUCUGGAUUUAUUUAUUUGAUAGAAUACAUUUUGCAGACAGUGCUUAAAGCCACAUGGAAGAGUUCAAAGGGGCUCAGUGUCUGGAAGUGAGGGAUCAUUAAGGCACAUCUAAUACUAUGCAAGAGUGCAAAGCUUCAUAUAGGAAGGACAUCUGAGCCAAGUUUGAGAUGAUAAAGAAAAAGGAGACGCAGCAAGAGUUGUGUGGAAUUUGGGAAGAGUAUAGAGCAGUACAGACCGGCUGUGAGACUGGCAUGUACAACAUCAUGGAAGCAAGAAGCAAGAGGGCAUGUUCAUUUGUUAAGUUCAGAAACCUUGUAACAUACAUGCAUUAAUUUAUAGGGAAAUGGCCCCUCCUGCCAGUCUUCCUGUAUUGAUUGUGUGUGCUAUGCCUUGUCUUGUAAAGACAACCAGCACCAUGGUUUUUAGAUUCCUAUCCCAUGAGGCUGAAUUCUGUUUUAUAUCUUAUCAGGUGAUCUCAGAUAAGUCUAAUCUCUGAGUCCCACUUUCCUAUUUGCAAAAUUGACCAUAGAGUUAACAAGAUAUAUAAAAAAGUAUGAUAUGCAUUUACUGUCAUGUAGCAGAACCUCAAACACCAUAUUUCCCUCCUCCUGAUUUUGGGCAUCAGCAAAAAAAUUUGUCCCUCCUGGAAGCUUCCUGGAAUUCACCAAUUUAGGAAUCAACUGCAGGCAAGGUUCUAGCCUAUUAAAAUUGUCCAGAAAAUCUACAAGCUGGAGGCUUUGAAAAAAAAAAAAAGGCCAACUAACCUGAAAUAACCUGGCUUUGUACCAUGUAUACCUAAACACAUCACUAAGUACCACCAGGCUCUUCUCCACCAAUAGGGGCACAGCUUCCUGUCUCACAGGAUUAUGGGAGGAAAUGGGCAGGAUGGCCAUGCUUGACCUUUCUGAGAAUAUCUGCUUAUGAUUUGGUGUAGAGAAGAAGCAACAUUUUGGUGAGUUGUUGUUGUUGUCGCCGUCAUCAUUUUUUUUUUUUUGCUUGUUUCUCUUUUCUUUUCUUUUCUUUUCUUUUUUUUUCUUUUCUUUUCUUUUCUUUCCUUUCCUUUCCUUUCCUUAUCUUUUCUUUUCUUUUCUUUUUUUAAAGAAGUUGCUGAGCCCCUUAAUAUGAUAGGUACAGCCUCUUACAAACUCUUUUCUCUAAAUACCAUCUUCUCGUUUGUGAUUCCUCAGCACCUACCUUGCCAGUUUCCAGGACUAACCUGUUCCAUUCUGUUCAUUUAUAACCUCUUUCUUCCUCUCCCCAUAAGAAACCCAUGCUUUGUUUUCCCUGGCAUGUGGUGACAUGUGAUUACACCAAUAAUCCAACUUUCUUCACCCUUUCCUUCCCAGUGUUUAUAAUCAAGAACAACACUUUGUGACUCUCUGGUGAAUGAAUGGAAACGACUCAUCACAACCAGGAGAACCCUUCCCCAUUGAGUAGCAUGACAUUUGACAGGGUUGUGAGAAGGACAGCUACCUCCAGAGGAAAACUGUGCAGAGGUUUCUUCUUCUUCCCUCCUAGACAGUAAGGCCUUAGAAGCUGGUGGGGGCUCUGUCAUGGUGCUCAAUAUGCAAUUUAUAUCUGCCCACAGGAUUGUUUGUUUAGUCUCUUUAAACCAGCUAUUUUCUACUGAGUUCCCCUUUAUGCUGGUUCUCUGGAGCAACAGAGAAUUGACCCUAUAGCAGUGUGACAGAGCCUCUGUAACCUUUGCCUGGUUCCUAACAAUGGGAAGCUCUGAGGGAACAUGAAGAAACCAGGAGGGAAUCUGAAAUACUUCUUCCUUCUUCCCUGCAGCUUUAGAGCCUCAUCUGCAAUAGCUGUGCCCAUCCAGAAUGGCAGGUGGCUUCUCCACAGCGGACUCUCACAUGAGAACGGAUUUCCAAAUUUGCUGUUUUAUAAGUAGAAAUGGCAUCAGCUUCCUGCUACGCCAGCCUUAGGGAACUCACUGCCUGUAUUGAUUCUCCAAUCCUGCUUUGUGAACGAUGCCUUUCUUUUGUUUCUUACAGAUCUACCAUUUACUCUGUCACUUCUACUAAACCCCACAUGUCUCUCCAGGUUAAAUAUGAAUGAGGAAAACACAAAUGAGACCAUGAAGUGGAGGGCAUGUGUGACGAUGAGCAAUGCUUUGGAGAAGUGCCCCCACUUACAACGUGAUGGGGAAAAAAAUACCAAGAAUUUAUUUUUGUGUAUGAUGGGACUGUUGUGGGGAUAGUAGAGAUAAACAGAAAAUAGGUAUAAGAUCAAGAAGAGUAUUGAGGGUGGGGUGGGGUGGGAUGAUGGAUCUACUAAUCUUGCAUCCAAUUUGUGGUGGCCAUACAUAAAAGAUACUCUGUUGUUUGGGAGACAGUGGAGUCAAGAGGGAAGAGAAUGAACUCCUCAGAAAAAGGGGAACGCGCGAAGAUCUGACUUAAACUAUUGCUCAGCCUGACAAGUGACAACUUUGUUGAGUUUUUAAUGACUUCAUAACAGAUAAUUAUAUGAAGAAUACCUUAACAAUUGUUAUGUAAAUAAAACCAUGGGUGUAUGGAUGGAUGGGUAGCAAAGAGAAACACUGACAUAUAAGAAAGAGCCUACCACUGUGAUCCAGUGAGGGGAAAAAGAAGCUACAUAAAAGGUGUCAGCUCUUUUCUGAUGCCCUGUUGAUGAAAACAUGUCAAAUAAGUAAAGAAAUGGAUCCACAUUCAAUAAACCAUUUGUUAUUCUUA